UAAGUUUGUCACGAUGUUUGUAACACCCAGAAGGAAGCGUCGGAGACCCUAUAAAGUAUAUAUAUAAAUGAUCAGUAUGUUGAGCUGAGUCGAUUUAGCCAUGUCCGUCUGUCUGUCCGUCCGUCUGUCUGUCUGUAUAUAUACGAACUAGUCCCUCAGUUUUUAAGAUAUCCUUUUGAAAUUUUGCAAACGUCAUUUUUUCUUCAAGAAGCUGCUCAUUUGUCGGAACGGCCGAUAUCGGACCACUAUAACAUAUAGCUGCCAUAUAAACUGAACGAUCGGAAUCAAGUUCUUGUAUGGAAAACUUUGACAUUUGACAAUAUAUAUUCACGAAAUUUGGUAUAGAUUAUUUUUUAAGGCAACAAUGUAAUUUCCGAAGAAAUUGUUCAGAUCGAAUUACUAUAGCAUAUAGCUGCCAUACAAACUGAACAGAUAGUUACUAACAGAAAUGCACCUGUGAAGGGUAUUUA
Long non-coding RNA from Bactrocera dorsalis (oriental fruit fly), 470 nucleotides. RefSeq lists it as uncharacterized. The record is from RefSeq and is a predicted model, not a curated record. The transcript has 2 exons. NCBI's taxonomy places the organism in Eukaryota, Metazoa, Arthropoda, Insecta, Diptera, Tephritidae.